GAUUUACUCUUUGUCUGACGAUCUUGAUCAACCAUGUGUCUCUAUGACCAUUCUUUGAAUAAUACCUUGAAUACCAUCUUGGUCAUCAUAUAAACUCCUUGAACCCAACAGAUGGACUUCAAGUAGUGCCUAUGGACAAAUCCUAUAAAUAUAACUUAAGGCAACCAUUAGUCCAUAGGAAUUGUCAUCAAUUACCAAAACCACAUAUGGAGAGAUAUGCUCUAACACCCGCCACGGAGAGGGCCAUGGCCUGCACCAUGGUCGCCUCGUACGCCGCCUCCUCUUGCUCUCCGCCGCCGCCCUGCGCCGCUCGUCCUCCUCGCUCUCCCAAUAGACCGCCGCAAGGGCCGCCUAGUAGGCAGCCUCCGCUGCCUGGUCCUCCUCGCGGAUGACGAGCGGGGGCGGUGGCACGGUGCGGUCAACUUCGCGAACGCCGCGUUGCCUCGCCUCCUCGUGCUCGAAGGCCAACCAGCUAGCCCAGUUGGGUGAGUCGGUUGCGUAGGCGAGGUCGCGGCACUGCUCCGGUAUCAGGAGCUCCCGUCUGCUCCGGAUCCAGGUGCCAGUCGUGCGGCAGGGUGGCGACGGGUACGGGAGAGGCACGCGGUGCUGCCAGUGUCACUCGGCCUGUUGCACUGGCAUGUUGACGCGCUACCUAAGUCGGCGAGCUCGCGCUGGCAGAGGCAGGAGGAACUCCGAGGGAAAAGGAAUGACGGGGGACUUUCCCUUGGCCUUGCUACUGUUGGCGCUGGAGAAGAUCACCAUCUGGCAUGGUUGGGAUGGCUAGGGUUUGCCGGGGAUGGGGAAGCGAGUGUGGCUAGAUGGGGACGAGGGCUGGCUGGAAGCGGAUGAGGACGGCCCCGCCGCACAGUCGUCUUAAAAAAGGACGACCCCCAUAGCUGACGCGUGGGCCUGAGGUCAUAAAUUAAGCACACUAGGUAGGCCACGGGCAGUUGGACGACCGCCACGUGGGGACACAGCGGACAUCGAGAAGGCACGCGUGGCGUUCGUUCCGAGUCCUCACCGAUGCAUUUGGGGCGCAAAUUUGGGUCGUAAAUGCGUCGGCGCGGACGUGAAGCGGACUCGAUUUGGGCUUGGCUCGGCGCGUUGGGCCUCCUCUUUUGUCCGCGUCGACGCAAACAGUCGGCGGCUGAUGAAAUGGGUCGCCCCAUUGAAGUUGCUCUUAAUAGAAAUUUCUCUCUUUCUGUUAGCCUCUUCCUCAACUCUAGUGGUAAUGCUUUUAGAGUUGUAGUUGUGAAUGGGUCCACUUAUGAUCAUGAAAAAGAUAUAGUUUUAUCUCUGAAUUGCACUCUCUAUCCCCUUGUCGCCCAUGUUAUUCAUAUUGAUCAUGGGAACAAUUUAACGCCUUCGAGCUAGCUUCGACACGUGUAAACCUUGUGCCCCUAGCGCGGACCGAAAUAAAACAAAGAUUGGCCAUCUUUGUUGAUGACGCAAUGAUAUUUAUCCGAUGAAAGGAAAGCGAGCUCUGUGCUUGUUUAGCACAGUUGGGGCACUUGGGGAAGCUUUGGAACGGAGGGUUAACUUGCUGAAGAGGGAAACUAUGCCUAUCACAUGCUAGGAUGAAGAAAGGAAACUAAAUGAUCAUUCCCCUUCAAGUAUCUUGGGCUUCCCCUUACCAUUUGCAAGCAAACGACCACCCAAUUUGAGGGCAUUGUAGUGUGUGGAUCACUUGGUGGGAUGUUUACCUAGUUGGACCGCAUCGUGUUGCCAAAAGGUGGAGGAUUUCUUGUAAUCAAUCGGUAUUCUAUACAAUUCACCCGAUGUUCACUCUUGAUCUCCCACUAAAAAUGGUGGCGGCCAUGGAAAAAUCAUUAUUGGGGGGUUUAUAUGGUGUGGCGAGGGAAAGGGAAAUGCUGGGAACUGUUCGGUUGCUUGGGAGAUGAUGUGUGCUCCCAAGUGGUCGGGUGGCUUGGGAAUUCCAAUCCUGUGAUGGAUGAACAUCGCCAUGCGGGCAAGAUGGCCAUGGUUACAUAGAGGUGACCAAUCGAGGCCAUGUAACGAGUUCAAGAUAAAGGUGUUGGAAGAAUCAAUGGCACUAUUUCAGGCUGCAAUAAGAGUGGACGUAGGUGAUGGCCGCAGUAUGCUAUUCUAGGAGGACCAAUGGAUCAAUGAUCUAUGGAUAGAGAAGCUUGCACCACACCUAUAUGGAAGAAUUGUGCAACGGUGGCAUUCGUCGCAUAAAUGGAUCAUGGGCACAGGAUACUAAUACUAAUCUCGACAUGGACAACCUGCUAGAGAAUUCGACUAUAUGGUAAAGAAUGGCCCAUGUGCAGCUAUGUACCGGAUUGCUGAUACUCUAUGUUGGUCUUGGGAGCGGAAUGGAGGUUACUUAGUACGCUUCACGUAUGUUGCCAAGUUUUCGACGUCAGAGGUGGUGCCCACUAUUGGAAAUAUGCCCUCAAGGCAAUAAUAAAUUAAUUAUUAUCAUGUUUCCCAGUUCAUGAUAAACGUUUAUUAUCCAUGAUAGAAUUGUAUUGAUCGAAAACUUACAUACAUGUGUGGGUAUAUAAACAACACUGUGUCCCAAAUGAACCUCUACUAGACUAGCUCGUUGACCAAAGAUGGUUAAGAUUGUUGGGAAAUGUUGCAUGGGAAACAAAAAAAUUCCUACGCACACACAAUACCUAUCCAUGGUGAUGAUCAUCUACGAGAGGGGAGAGUGAAUCUACAUACCCUUGUAGAUCUCUAAGUGGAAGCGUAUAUAGCGCGGUUGAUGUAGGGGAACAUCUUCGUGAUCCAAAUCGCAGCCCGUCCCACAAUCUCAUCACAAUCCGUCCCGUGAUCUCAUCACGAUCCAUCCCGAUCUAGUGCCGAACGGACGACACCUCCGCGUUCAGCACACGUACAGCUCGAUGAAGAUCUCCGCCAUCUUGAUCCAGCAAGAGGGGUUGAGAGGUAGAUGAGUUCUCCAACAUGAGGGCGUGGUGGUGGUGGUGAACUAAUCCAGCACGGCUUUGCGAAGCAAUGUUGAACUAGACUAGAGGAGAAACAUAUCUAGAGGAAGAGAGAGGUAGCAUG
RNAcentral lists this long non-coding RNA (3036 nucleotides) under Hordeum vulgare. RNAcentral describes it as "long non-coding RNA (HVUL_LNC001977)". The record is from RNAcentral. Lineage: Eukaryota; Viridiplantae; Streptophyta; Magnoliopsida; Poales; Poaceae.